Non-coding RNA from Dermacentor albipictus, 731 nucleotides. NCBI's taxonomy places the organism in Eukaryota, Metazoa, Arthropoda, Arachnida, Ixodida, Ixodidae. The record is from RefSeq and is a predicted model, not a curated record.
CAUUCGGCGCAUCGUAGUCUUUGAACCGCCGUACGUUUUGACCAGUUCACAUGUUUGUCGUGCUGUAACGUUACCACCGUAGCCAAGCUACCUCUCCUGCACGUAAUUGCUACGUGAAAGUCUGGCAGUCGACCGUCUUUGUGGCAGCGUUGUGCGCAAGCGUGUUCAGGCUACAUGCAAGAAGUAAUGGCAACCAGGCAGUGCCAUGUAAUCUUACGUCGUGGAUGUGUUUAACUGGUGCGGCCGGAACAAGUGUCAAAGUAUACCAGUGCAUACUUCCUCGUCGUCAACGUUUUGUGGUUUCCAGUGCAACCAGAGGUGAAGGUUGUGGCGUGUGGCGUGUGCCUGCUGCCAUGGAAAUUGCGUUCGUGGAGCCAAAGUGACGAUUCUCUAGCUACGCCAACAUAAUGAAGCCGCCGAAGGAACUAGACUAGCGCAACUUCCCCGCUCGGCUAACGCAGUUGGCGGGAUUCUAAGAAGGCAGCUCCACGAGACGCAACUAUGGACGCUUCCAACAAGUUUCCGUGCCAUCUCUGAUCUGACUUUCGAAGCAACUGGUUUACUCAGACGGAAGCGGGAACGCCUGAUCCGGAUUUACGCCAGCUGCUGCAUUUCCCAUCCAGUCAAGGUACGCAUCGAGAUGCUGAUCAGGAGGCAUCAUACCCACAACACGUUCCCACCUCAUGAACUGUUCUUCUGCGUCAAACAUCUAGCGUCCCUUUGAAGCCUAG